CCUGUGAAGAAUAAACAGUCACUGCUUCCUCACUAUAUGUGCUGUUUUAUAAUGAUAUUCCCCUGGGCCCCACUCCCCCAUGUUUUGGCUUGAUGGCUCCCAGUUUGCAAACUGCCUGUUUGGUGCGUGCAUGAUUGACUUCUACUAAUGACUACUUUGGUGAUUCAUUGGUAUUGCUUCUGUUAUUUCUGAACUUUGACAUUUUGUGGUGUGAGAAGUGGAAUUCAAAGAAGACCCCGAUGACUGAGGCCCGUGAGCGAACAGGUGCUUGUACCCACAGAGCCCAUUGAGCUCCCUGCUGUCUUGUUGCCCAUGGGAUUUGAGGAAAUGCCUCUCGUUAAAUCACCUGAUUGCUCACAUCACGUUGAAGCCUAACUGAGAUGGAAGCUUGCCUGACCCUCCUGAAAGAAAAGGUCCUCAGGUCGUUCAUCCUGUCCUGAGUAGUCAUGAGGAUAUGUGUUUGCUAACACAUCGUGUUUGCCUACAUAAAUAACUUUAAAAAAAAUUAUAACCUGUUUGAGUUAUUUAAUUGGUUUAAUCUUGGCUCCUGGGGAAUCUCUGCUCUGGGGGAAUUUCUCAGUCCUUGGCUCAUGUUCUCCUUAUAGGCAUCAUGUUAACCUCUCUAGUGUGUUGCAUACUCUUGAGGGUUUUAAAUGCCCGGCGGCAGCCACUUGAGUGCCAAAUGGUAUCCAUCAGUCUCAGAGAACUGGAUGAAAUCAACAAUAACCACAAAGGAUGAAGACAGUCGCCUGACAGCUCAACUCAGGCAGUGAUGAAAAACACUGGCUUUCUCUAACAGAGCUUCCAGUCCAGCGAGGCCCCCAAAACCUCUCUCGGCAUGGGCCAUCCCAGCUCCUAAAUGCUCUCCGCUACAUAUGACCCUUGGCUUCCAAGAAUGAUUGCCAGAAGAUUCCAGUUAUGGUGCACAAACUGGGAGAGGUAUCGCGUUAUGCCGUUAUCAUAUCAAAGACACUUUUGUUGGCUGAGCCAGUGUCUCCUGGCAGAGAUCACAAAAUCAGAGACAGUGAGAUGAGAGGACGGACGGAUAAGGCCAGCUCCCUUCAGAAGCUUGUGCUCAGUUCUGGGGGAUCCCACAAGGGGAAGAUUGGGGGAGUUUUGUGGGUUUUUUUUUUUCAUUUCUUUUUGUAUUUGUAAUUUUAAAAAUAUUGAGGGGGGCGCCUGGGUGG
Molecule: long non-coding RNA, 1187 nt
Organism: Callorhinus ursinus (northern fur seal)
Lineage: Eukaryota; Metazoa; Chordata; Mammalia; Carnivora; Otariidae
Source: RefSeq, a predicted model, not a curated record